This 464-nucleotide ribosomal RNA is filed under the name uncultured bacterium. Its description in RNAcentral is "partial 16S ribosomal RNA". It matches the Rfam family "Bacterial small subunit ribosomal RNA", at positions 28 to 507 of the family's 1533-position model. The record is from RNAcentral.
GACGAACGCUGGCGGCGUGCUUAACACAUGCAAGUCGAACGGAAAGGCCCUUCUUGCCGGGUACUCGAGUGGCGAACGGGUGAGUAACACGUGGGUGAUCUGCCCUGCACUUCGGGAUAAGCCUGGGAAACUGGGUCUAAUACCGGAUAGGAGCCAUUUUUAGUGUGAUGGUUGGAAAGUUUUUUCGGUGUAGGAUGAGCUCGCGGCCUAUCAGCUUGUUGGUGGGGUAAUGGCCUACCAAGGCGGCGACGGGUAGCCGGCCUGAGAGGGUGGACGGCCACAUUGGGACUGAGAUACGGCCCAGACUCCUACGGGAGGCAGCAGUGGGGAAUAUUGCACAAUGGGCGCAAGCCUGAUGCAGCGACGCCGCGUGGGGGAUGACGGCCUUCGGGUUGUAAACUCCUUUCGCUAGGGACGAAGCUUUUGUGACGGUACCUAGAUAAGAAGCACCGGCUAACUACGUG